RNAcentral lists this long non-coding RNA (806 nucleotides) under Monodelphis domestica (gray short-tailed opossum). RNAcentral's name for it is "lncRNA (ENSMODG00000031708.2)". Lineage: Eukaryota; Metazoa; Chordata; Mammalia; Didelphimorphia; Didelphidae. The record is from RNAcentral.
GUAAUGGUUGAAAGAAUGAGAAACUGACAUUCAAGAGCAUGGUAACUUGGUACAUCUCUCAAAUUAAGACAUUACCUGACAAGGAAAUUGAGACGAAUAGAAACUGAGUGACUCACCCAGAUUUACACAGAGACAGUUUCUGUCCCAGAGUGGUACAUCAAAAGUUUGACUCAAAUUGACAAGUUGUACCAACAUCAAGAGGAACUGUGCACAACAAAGACCCCCUACUUGACUGUCAGUGGAUCACAACUGGUCAAGUCCACAGAAUGUAGAGAGGAGAAAAACAUUUCCCAUGAAGCAAUAGAAUAGGUUAGAAAAUAUUUACCUGAUAGGACCAUUUUGAAUGAAUAUCAUGAAAGUUUGUUUUUUUAGUUGUUGUGGAAGAGGCAUGUAUUCAAAAGACAGAAACUGGAGAUGGAUCAUCUGCCAGUCAAAUGAAAAUUCCAUUUGGAAUGUUACUGGGAAAAGCAGUUUGGAGCCAAGCCAACUGCUUGACUGGAUUUGAAGGUCUUUGGGGCUUUCUGGCUGACCCUGAAGGAAGAAGCUGGUUUUAUCUCUGGGACUUGGGAUAAUCAAGUUGGAGGUGAUCUGAUUGAUUUGAACGAAAAAGAAGGACAAUAGUUCAUAUAUUUCUCUCUGACUGGUUCUGUUUCAUGCUAGUGACUUAAUUGCCAUUUCUCUCAAUAUCCUCCAACUUAAAACUCAUUGUAGAGAAUAGGGAUACCCCACCCCUCUUACCUCCAUCCUCUAUCCUUUUCCUGUCUUCCCCAAAUAAACCCCUUGUUUAACAAAGAAGAUUAAGAACU